This 468-nucleotide ribosomal RNA is filed under the name uncultured bacterium. RNAcentral's name for it is "partial 16S ribosomal RNA". It matches the Rfam family "Bacterial small subunit ribosomal RNA", at positions 28 to 507 of the family's 1533-position model. The record is from RNAcentral.
GACGAACGCUGGCGGCGUGCUUAACACAUGCAAGUCGAACGGAAAGGCCCUGCUUUUGUGGGGUGCUCGAGUGGCGAACGGGUGAGUAACACGUGAGUAACCUGCCCUUGACUUUGGGAUAACUCCAGGAAACUGGGGCUAAUACCGGAUAGGAGCUCCUGCUGCAUGGUGGGGGUUGGAAAGUUUCGGCGGUUGGGGAUGGACUUGCGGCUUAUCAGCUUGUUGGUGGGGUAGUGGCUUACCAAGGCUUUGACGGGUAGCCGGCCUGAGAGGGUGACCGGCCACAUUGGGACUGAGAUACGGCCCAGACUCCUACGGGAGGCAGCAGUGGGGAAUAUUGCACAAUGGGCGGAAGCCUGAUGCAGCAACGCCGCGUGCGGGAUGACGGCCUUCGGGUUGUAAACCGCUUUCGCCUGUGACGAAGCGUGAGUGACGGUAAUGGGUAAAGAAGCACCGGCUAACUACGUG